This 103-nucleotide microRNA precursor is filed under the name Marmota monax (woodchuck). Lineage: Eukaryota; Metazoa; Chordata; Mammalia; Rodentia; Sciuridae. The record is from RNAcentral.
AGUGGGAUAGCUGGGUCAAAUGGUGGUUCCAUUCCCAGUUUUCUGAGGAAUCUCCAUACUGCUUUCCAUAGUGGUUACACCAAUUUGUAGUUCCACCAGCUGU